AAUUUCUAUCCAAACGUUAUAAUUGUGAUUGUUAUCUCUAGGAUUUCACAUGUAGUAUACCGUCUUGUAUUAAUAUAUUUAUAU
This 84-nucleotide small RNA is filed under the name Arabidopsis thaliana (thale cress). Its description in RNAcentral is "ATSL096890". Lineage: Eukaryota; Viridiplantae; Streptophyta; Magnoliopsida; Brassicales; Brassicaceae. The record is from RNAcentral.